GACAGAGGGUGCGAGCGUUGUUCGGAAUUAUUGGGCGUAAAGAGCGUGUAGGCGGUUUUAUAAGUCUGGUGUGAAAUACUGAAGCUUAACUUCAGUGGUGCAUUGGAUACUGUAAGACUAGAGGACGGGAGAGGCAAAUGGAAUUCUUAGUGGAGGGGUAAAAUCCAUAGAUAUUAAGAGGAACACCAGAGGCGAAGGCGAUUUGCUGGAACGUACCUGACGCUGAGGCGCGAAAGCGUGGGGAGCAAAC
Molecule: ribosomal RNA, 250 nt
Filed under: uncultured bacterium
Lineage: Bacteria
Description: partial 16S ribosomal RNA
Rfam family: Bacterial small subunit ribosomal RNA
Source: RNAcentral